This 570-nucleotide ribosomal RNA is filed under the name Lacticaseibacillus paracasei. RNAcentral describes it as "bacterial SSU rRNA". It matches the Rfam family "Bacterial small subunit ribosomal RNA", at positions 314 to 875 of the family's 1533-position model. Lineage: Bacteria; Bacillati; Bacillota; Bacilli; Lactobacillales; Lactobacillaceae. The record is from RNAcentral.
UGGGACUGAGACACGGCCCAAACUCCUACGGGAGGCAGCAGUAGGGAAUCUUCCACAAUGGACGCAAGUCUGAUGGAGCAACGCCGCGUGAGUGAAGAAGGCUUUCGGGUCGUAAAACUCUGUUGUUGGAGAAGAAUGGUCGGCAGAGUAACUGUUGUCGGCGUGACGGUAUCCAACCAGAAAGCCACGGCUAACUACGUGCCAGCAGCCGCGGUAAUACGUAGGUGGCAAGCGUUAUCCGGAUUUAUUGGGCGUAAAGCGAGCGCAGGCGGUUUUUUAAGUCUGAUGUGAAAGCCCUCGGCUUAACCGAGGAAGCGCAUCGGAAACUGGGAAACUUGAGUGCAGAAGAGGACAGUGGAACUCCAUGUGUAGCGGUGAAAUGCGUAGAUAUAUGGAAGAACACCAGUGGCGAAGGCGGCUGUCUGGUCUGUAACUGACGCUGAGGCUCGAAAGCAUGGGUAGCGAACAGGAUUAGAUACCCUGGUAGUCCAUGCCGUAAACGAUGAAUGCUAGGUGUUGGAGGGUUUCCGCCCUUCAGUGCCGCAGCUAACGCAUUAAGCAUUCCGCCUG